GCAAUCAAUUGAAGCUAACGCACCUCCAUCUACAGCCAUAGGCUCUGAUGGCACCAAAAUAAAAAACUCUGCUGCUGUACGGGAGGUUGGGGUUCAGGUCCAUGUCCAACCCCAGAUCCUACUGGUGGGGUGGCUGGGACAGUAGAGCAUUCGACUUCUCUUGAUCCGAUCACCUCUGAAAAGAAAAAAAUAUCCCCAACAUACCACCAAAGGAGGGCACUCCUAACAUGAUGAGUGGGACUCCAAAGGCCAACAUGGCCACUCAGAGAGACCAGUCUGAGCCCUCCUU
Scatophagus argus is the source of this 289-nucleotide long non-coding RNA. RefSeq lists it as uncharacterized. The transcript has 2 exons. The record is from RefSeq and is a predicted model, not a curated record. Lineage: Eukaryota; Metazoa; Chordata; Actinopteri; Scatophagidae.